This is a non-coding RNA of Vicia faba (fava bean), 219 nucleotides long. The record is from the annotation of a GenBank genome assembly. NCBI's taxonomy places the organism in Eukaryota, Viridiplantae, Streptophyta, Magnoliopsida, Fabales, Fabaceae.
AUGGGAAUAUGCUUUCUCGUCUUCUUUCGAAGCUUAAGGCCUUUCGAUUAUUUGAAUGAAGGUACAAAAGAUAAGGCUUACCCCUUGCUCAACUUGAAGGUAAGUGCAGUUAUCCCUCCUUCAUCCUGUCUUAUUGCACGGGAAUUCGACGCAUCAACUAUGGCCAUUCCCUCCUCCAAUACGGCUUAUUCAUCUGCACCUUCUAUGGAAUAUUGUUAA